CCCAGACUCCUACGGGAGGCAGCAGUGGGGAAUAUUGGGCAAUGGGCGCAAGCCUGACCCAGCAACGCCGCGUGAAGGAAGAAGGCCCUCGGGUUGUAAACUUCUUUUGUCAGGGACGAAGUAAGUGACGGUACCUGACGAAUAAGCCACGGCUAACUACGUGCCAGCAGCCGCGGUAAUACGUAGGUGGCAAGCGUUAUCCGGAUUUAUUGGGUGUAAAGGGCGUGUAGGCGGGAAUGCAAGUCAGAUGUGAAAACUAUGGGCUCAACCCAUAGCCUGCAUUUGAAACUGUAUUUCUUGAGUGCUGGAGAGGCAAUCGGAAUUCCGUGUGUAGCGGUGAAAUGCGUAGAUAUACGGAGGAACGCCAGUGGCGAAGGCGGAUUGCUGGACAGUAACUGACGCUGAGGCGCGAAAGCGUGGGGAGCAAACAGGAUUAGAUACCCUCGUA
RNAcentral lists this ribosomal RNA (448 nucleotides) under uncultured bacterium. RNAcentral describes it as "bacterial SSU rRNA". It matches the Rfam family "Bacterial small subunit ribosomal RNA", at positions 330 to 792 of the family's 1533-position model. The record is from RNAcentral.